Molecule: small nucleolar RNA, 75 nt
Filed under: Arabidopsis thaliana x Arabidopsis arenosa
Lineage: Eukaryota; Viridiplantae; Streptophyta; Magnoliopsida; Brassicales; Brassicaceae
Description: snoR53Y
Rfam family: Small nucleolar RNA snoR53Y
Source: RNAcentral
AUUCCCUAUGAUGGUAAUAACUAUGCUAAUACUGAUGUCUUAUGACUGAAUCAAAGUUACGUGUCUGAGGGAAUC